AUGCAUUUGUAUAAAAUGGAAGGGUUGUAUCUAUGGACUGAACUGCAGAAUGCCAGAAUAGAGGGGGAAAGCCUAGCCUAUCGAAGACUAGCAUCUUCACGCAGCUCUGAGCAUCUUGCAGCAUGUAGAAGAGUAAAGAAUAGCAGUUUAUAUUUAACAAGCAUGUUAUCUAUACUAAGUAUGCAUUUGUAUAAAAUGGAAGGGUUGUAUCUAUGGACUGAACUGCAGAAUGCCAGAAUAGAGGGGGAAAGCCUAGCCUAUCGAAGACUAGCAUCUUCACGCAGCUCUGAGCAUCUUGCAGCAUGUAGAAGAGUAAAGAAUAGCAGUUUAUAUUUAACAAGCAUGUUGUAA
This 351-nucleotide ribosomal RNA is filed under the name Triticum aestivum (bread wheat). Its description in RNAcentral is "partial small subunit ribosomal RNA". Lineage: Eukaryota; Viridiplantae; Streptophyta; Magnoliopsida; Poales; Poaceae. The record is from RNAcentral.